RNAcentral lists this ribosomal RNA (468 nucleotides) under uncultured bacterium. RNAcentral describes it as "partial 16S ribosomal RNA". It matches the Rfam family "Bacterial small subunit ribosomal RNA", at positions 28 to 507 of the family's 1533-position model. The record is from RNAcentral.
GACGAACGCUGGCGGCGUGCUUAACACAUGCAAGUCGAACGGAAAGGCCCUGCUUUUGUGGGGUGCUCGAGUGGCGAACGGGUGAGUAACACGUGAGUAACCUGCCCUUGACUUUGGGAUAACUUCAGGAGACUGGGGCUAAUACCGGAUAGGAGCUCCUGCUGCAUGGUGGGGGUUGGAAAGUUUCGGCGGUUGGGGAUGGACUCGCGGCUUAUCAGCUUGUUGGUGGGGUAGUGGCUUACCAAGGCUUUGACGGGUAGCCGGCCUGAGAGGGUGACCGGCAACAUUGGGACUGAGAUACGGCCCAGACUCCUACGGGAGGCAGCAGUGGGGAAUAUUGCACAAUGGGCGGAAGCCUGAUGCAGCAACGCCGCGUGCGGGAUGACGGCCUUCGGGUUGUAAACCGCUUUCGCCUGUGACGAAGCGUGAGUGACGGUAAUGGGUAAAGAAGCACCGGCUAACUACGUG